UCCGAAAUUACGUCACAACUAUCUCUAAGUUAUCUCUAAGUUAUUCAAAUUUCAAACAACUCCAUCCCUCAUCUCUUAUACCGCACAAACGGCAGAGCAUAGAGCACAAACGGCAGUCAUCUCUGAUACGCAACCCCUAAUCUACCAGCUCUCUCUCAUUCCCUCAUCUCUUAUACCCAAUACCCAACCCUAAUUUCAGCCCCAAAUCUCUGAUACGCAGCCCCUAAUCUACCAGCCAGAGCAUAGAGCACAAACGGCAGUCAUCUCUCUCUCUUCUACUCUCCUGUCGACGUAGCAACGAUUCGCCGGUGCGAUAACGGCAGCGUAGCAUACACAGUCGCUAUUGAGCAAACAAGAUUGAGAAAGCACAAAAAACCGACCAUGAAUGAGAAAGCCAAAGACUCCAAAAAUACCAAACACCGAAAGGUUUUAUUCUUGAUUUUUUAUCAUAUUUUGGUGGUAUUGCUUCGAUAUGCAAUUAUUAGUCAUUUAUUUCGAUUUUAUAGUUUGGAUUGAAAUUCUUUUGGUGAAAUACUUCGAUAUGAUACUGUUUGUUCGAGAGGAUUUUCAAGAGCUGCAUUUCCUCAAUGACAAUAUAACAGUUCUGGAGUUGAUGGGUGUGCUUCUGUCCGAAGUAUUUAGCUAAUAAUUUUUAUUUUUUUAAAAUCUUUCCGACCCCCAGGAUUACUUGCUCAUAUUAUGCUCCAAGAAGCUUUUGGGUGCUCCAUAUUCUGUUUGCUUACUUGUGAGUCUAGAUACUAAGUGAGAAAGAUGCAAAAUUUCUAAUUCAGUUCAGUUUCACAAGCUUUGUUUAGUUGGGAAAAUAUUCAAUUGAUUUUUUUUGGCAGAGCAAUUAUUUAUAGGAUGUUACAAGGUGCUAUUUUGGUCCUCUGAAAAAUGACCUGGUGAACAAAAUGUCAUGGCGAUGAAGAUGCAUGAUAAAAUCACUUUAAUUUCUCGGUAAUCAGAAUUACACUAGAUAAAUGUACCUAAAAGUUGAAAAGAUCCCAGUAUGUAAUAGGAACUUUGGCUUUUGAAAUUUGGGAAACAUUGGGUCAAAUAUGUGGUUGGGUUUUCCAAUUCGUAAUUUACUUCACGUGUGAGAGUCUAAAUUGAAAAUAUAGCCAGACAAUUACUAACGGCACCUUGAAUUUUUCUGACCCAAGAGAUAUAUCUGCCUUAUUCUUAGUUAGUGCUGAUGAUAAAGUCAGAUACAAAAGGAAUAUAAAACAUGCAAAUAUAAGGAGCAACUCUAAUAUACAUGCAAAUAUAAUGAGGUUAUAUCUGGGUGCAAUACAUUUGUUAGUCAUAAGGAGUCAAUAUCUUUUAACCACAAUUAUUAUUGGAUAGAGAGAGAAGAUUAUGAGCUUUCUGGAAAUCUUCAAUUAUUAUUAAAAUUUCCUAAUUUGAUGAUUUUGUUCCUUUUAUGAUACAUUUUAAAAAGGUUAUGUUCGUUGAGAGGUUGUUUCUAGAACCCUCACAUAUGGACACCGUCUUUGGUCAUGCCACAUGAUCUGCCUACUUCUUGGACUUAUCCUUUACCUUUCUGUUGUAAUCUUCGCACAUCAUCUAUAAUAGACAAAUGUCACAUCUCAAACCUACGUCAGCAGCUCUCUCUCUCACUUGUUCAAAUUUCAAAUCGUGUAUCUCUCUUUCUUCUACUAGAAACAGAGCUCUCUCUCAAAACUCCGUCCCUCAAAACUCUCUUAAAUCUCUUAUACCCGGCCCUAAUUUCAGCCCCAAAUCUCUCAUACCCAACCCUAAAUCUCAUACCAAGCCCCUAAUCUACCAGCCAGAGCAUAGCGAAACGGUGUGAUAAUCUGCAAUUUCAACCCCAAGUCGCAGUCAUCGUAGCAUACACAGUCGCAAUUUUAGCCCAAUCUCAGUCGCUAUACACAGUCGCUAUACACAGUCGCUAUUAGAGAGCACAAAAGUUUGAAGUGCAACCGACCAUGAAUGAGAAAGCCAGAGUCUCCAAACACCGAAAGGUUUUAUCCUUUUUUUUCUGUUUUACAGCUUGAUUUUAUUACCCUUUUCUUAAUUUUGAGCUUAGUUUGGUUCCUGGAUCAUUAUUAGGCAUUUCAUAAGAUGCUUGUCUGAAUUUUCAUAAACUAUCGGUUUCAUUUUUAUGGCAGGGUUAAAAGUUCUCUUUUUAGUCUUUGUGUUCUUCUUAUUAAUAGGUUCUUGAUUUUUCAGGAUUUGAUAGUACCAAGUAGAAAUUUAGAUUCCUUUUCUUUUUUCUUUAAGUUAUAGUAUGCCUCUAAGUUCAGUUUUCUUAUUACGAAACUUCCAAGUUUUCUUAAGUUAAAGUAUGCCUCUAACUACACAUAGUGAUUGCAGAAAAAGAAAAUGUAGAGUUUUUACUUUUGUUUGCAGGAGUAGUUGAAGACAUCAUUCAGACUCAAAUCCAUGGUGAUUUGAGUAUGCAAUAUAUGGAUAUGUAUGAUUCAUAUAUGGAUUUGAUUGUGGUAUCAUUCUUGAAGGCAUAAAGCUAAGUUUAAUGUAUCAUCUAGACUAAGUUUGAGCAUGAUUUAAAUUUGUAUUGGAACUUUAAGAGUUUAGUAUUUACAGCUAGGGCUCUACCAAGUUUGCUUAUGUUUAAAUUAGAUAUUAUUUAUAGUACCUUAGGUUAUUAAUUGUAUAUCAUUCAAUCCCAAAAUGUUUUUGCUUAAAAGACAUAAUUUAAGUACAAAGAAAAAAAGAUAUAAA
This 2709-nucleotide long non-coding RNA is filed under the name Panax ginseng (ginseng). RNAcentral's name for it is "long non-coding RNA (PGIN_LNC006431)". Lineage: Eukaryota; Viridiplantae; Streptophyta; Magnoliopsida; Apiales; Araliaceae. The record is from RNAcentral.